UCGCUCGUCCGGGGCAUUCAGCCGUUUUCUCCGCGGCCCUCCCCGGAACGGCGCUAGCCGUCGCCUGCUCCAGAGCGGGUGGGCGGCGCUGGCCAGGCGCCUUGGAUGCCGACAGGAUUCUACGGGUGCACUUGCUCCGGUCGUCGAGGGCCACGACCGGUUCCUUCGCAGGCAGUCUAGAGUCGGGUCGGUCGGGCGUCGCACGUCGGGGUGGCUUCGCCGCCUCGCGGCUUCGCUCCGAUCCUGACGGACACUCGCCUGGGGGACCGAGGACGCGUUUUAUGGCCGACGCUGUCGGGAUGCGGGCGCUCCCCUCUGGCCUCCUGGUGCGACACCCGUCUUUUGCCGGGGUUGCGCCGUCAAGGAGGCUGGGGGGCUCUGCCUCUUGCCGGCGCGUCGUCUCAGUGUCGGUGGAGGAUAAGUCUGUAUCACCCACCG
This 438-nucleotide ribosomal RNA is filed under the name Dinocardium robustum. RNAcentral describes it as "partial 28S ribosomal RNA". Lineage: Eukaryota; Metazoa; Mollusca; Bivalvia; Cardiida; Cardiidae. The record is from RNAcentral.